This is a long non-coding RNA of Camelus dromedarius (Arabian camel), 681 nucleotides long. RefSeq lists it as uncharacterized. Lineage: Eukaryota; Metazoa; Chordata; Mammalia; Artiodactyla; Camelidae. The transcript has 3 exons. The record is from RefSeq and is a predicted model, not a curated record.
UGUGCCACCUGCAGUUUGUGCUAGUAGCAGGAUCCUCUGGGAGACAUCACACUCUCCCAACCUGAAAACAGGUGAACAGCUCACAGGUUUCCUGGAGAGGAUGGUCACAUGGCCUUGAUCUGGCCAAUCAGCAUUUUCCAUCCUCCCUGGCCACUGUGAUUGGCUCAGGGCUGGGCACCAGCCCAAUCAGGCUCCACGGAGGUCAGACCUAGUUGCUGGAAUCGUGGGAGCAGAGAAGUUCUAUUUCAGUUGGGAGUUGAGGGGUGGUGAUGUCAGCCUGUGGCAGUUGGUGACUAUCUUGCUCUCAUAAAGGCAGAGCCAUGUGAAGAUGACACCAGUGGCAGAGCCCAGAGGUGGGGAAGGAUGACUUCUGCUGAUGUCACUGAGCACCAGGUACAGCCCUGCCUGAAGCUAUCUCCCUGUGGAUGUCUCAGGCUGUCUGCUGCAUGAGAAUGGAGACCUGCCUGCUUCACUCCCUGCUGUGCCCGGUAUAAGGAACCCGCCCAACACACAGUAGGACCUCAGCGAAUGUGUGACGGAUGUGUGAUCACUGUAGGCCACGGACAAAGGUCUUCCCAGCAGUGAUGAAACCCUGUGACAGAUCCUGUCCACAGCACCCUGCUCCUCCGAUCCUGACCCCAGGCUUUCCCAUGGUGUGUGACCCCUCAUGGGGUGCAGUCC